Non-coding RNA from Variovorax paradoxus, 172 nucleotides. NCBI's taxonomy places the organism in Bacteria, Pseudomonadati, Pseudomonadota, Betaproteobacteria, Burkholderiales, Comamonadaceae. The record is from Rfam.
GCGAGGGCGACCGAGUGUGGAGAGGAAGCGUGGAGCGAAGCUGCGAGCCGAUGGACAAGAACUGGAUAGAAGGCGACGCCGAGCAGGGCGAGCGGGGACGUAACCGCGAAGCUCUCGUGAUCAAGGCUCAGGCGGUGUAGAUCCGGCGGUUGUGCGGCGAAGGAGUGCGUUC